Molecule: ribosomal RNA, 253 nt
Filed under: uncultured bacterium
Lineage: Bacteria
Description: partial 16S ribosomal RNA
Rfam family: Bacterial small subunit ribosomal RNA
Source: RNAcentral
UACAGAGGGUGCGAGCGUUAAUCGGAAUUACUGGGCGUAAAGAGCGCGCAGGCGGUCGUUCAAGUCGCGUGUGAAAGCCCCCGGCUCAACUGGGGAGGGUCACGCGAUACUGAUCGACUGGAAGGCAGGAGAGGGUAGUGGAAUUCCCGGUGUAGUGGUGAAAUGCGUAGAUAUCGGGAGGAACACCAGUGGCGAAGGCGACUACCUGGCCUGUUCUUGACGCUGAGGCGCGAAAGCUAGGGGAGCAAACGGG